Long non-coding RNA from Leopardus geoffroyi (Geoffroy's cat), 4917 nucleotides. RefSeq lists it as uncharacterized. The transcript has 3 exons. Lineage: Eukaryota; Metazoa; Chordata; Mammalia; Carnivora; Felidae. The record is from RefSeq and is a predicted model, not a curated record.
GGGAAAUGUUCCAGGUCUUAUUUUGCCUCAAAGAUAAAUUAUUCCAAAAGCACUAAUAGCAAACAUUCACCAUGCCCUAAUUAUCUGUCAUACUACAGCAAGCACUUUCACACGUUUUUGCACAUGACCCUCGUACCACCUCAUGGUGAAGGUCCGUAUGUGCUAUUAUUUGCAUUUUACCAAUGUGGAAACUGAGGUUCAGAGAUGAGCUAACUUGUUUGAGGUCACACUGCUGGUAAGUGGGUGAGCUGGGAUUUGAGCGAAGGCAGCUUGGUUUUUCUGCACCCAAAGUCACAUUUCAGCAUGAGCAAAAAUUACUGCUCAUUUUAGAAGAAUCCAGGAAAUGUAAAUCGGGAGAGAGGGGUCGCCUUGGAACACAAAGCAAAAGGACCUCAGAAGGUAUCAAGGCAGAAAAUGGUCUUCCUCCUCUUGAAACUUCCAUUCUACAGCAUGUACUCCCCUCCAACUUUGGAAACCCACAGCCUGCUAAUUCACUUUCCAGAUCCCAUGUAGCUGUGUCUCUGGGCGAUCAUAACUUGAUGGAGUCAGCUGACAAGGUCUGCAAGACUCUUGGAAAGGUAUCAUUAAUUCGAAAUGAUGCCAAGUGUCACUGGGGAGUCCAUUUGCAAACACUCUCCUCCUUUCUUGCCAAAGAGCAAGCGUUCCUGUAGCUACCAGCUCCUUUCCACAUCACCUUUCUGUGCCAGGCUCCUCCAGCCUGUUGGGUCUGAUGCUCCUCUUCCAGCUGUCUAUGCUGAUGAAGAACAAACCAACAGUAACCCACAGAGGUAAUACUGGGUCUGCUGUUGUCAUCAAAAGCAGCCAGCUUUCCCGAAAGUUGCUUAGCAUCUGAUAGUGUGCAUCCCAAUAUCCCACAAAGUAGCUCUAAGCCAGUAAACAAGUUCAACCUACAUUGAGCACUCACUUUGGAUCAGAUAGCGUACAUGAUAAAGUACAGUGCCUGUCCCUCCCCCAAAUUAUAAAUGUACUGCAGGAAAAGACUACUGGAGAAAUGCUACAACAUAAGGGUAAUUAAAUACAUGCUAAAUGAGUGAGCACCAUUUAAAUUAUGGCUGGAACACAUUUUGAACCAUUAAUUUGUAUCUAUUUUUCAUCUAUUUUUCUCCUUUCCUGUCUUCUCUCCUCAAGCAAGUAGCCAAUCAGCCUUGCCUUCAUUGCCUCAGAGAUGGUCCACUGCAGAGAGAAAGAAGAAGUUACUGGCAAGGCUCCCUGGCUUUGGUAUUCCAAAAGCUGAUGCCCAGAGUUGAAUCAAUAUGGUUUGUGGAGAACAAAGGGGCAAAAGAAGAACUGGAUGGAGGAAGAGGCAAAGUGAACUGGAGAAAGUCAAAGUAGAGAUUUCUCCCAGAACAGAAAAAAAUACCCCGGGGCUAGGGGCAGAAUGAGAGCAUGAGACACCAAGAGAGACACAAGACAGAGAGACCGAGGCUUAGACUGCUGGGUGCUUAGGCAAAGAGGACUGAACCUCAUGAUUCUUGUCUCAAUAAGACUUCCACAAGGCAGUGGCUAUGUUGUAUGUCUAGGCAAAUACAGGCAAAUUGUUUUUCUGCAAAAAUAAUUCUCAGGUCUCCAGUGUGCCCACAGAGAGCAGCCAGUCCCAGUGUUGCCAUAUGGAGGAGGUAAGGGGAAACACGGAGGUAACUUGUUUGGUUUCUGCCUUACUUUGACACUGUACAAAUCCCUAGAACAAUGGCCCAGACAGGGUGGAACCCGAGCAAUUCUACCACAAUUUCCUGGUGGCCUGGACGGAUGGGGUGAAGUUGCCAGAGACAAUCUAGGAUGCUCUGUCCUGGGUGUCCUGUGUUUUUAUUCACUAAGUCUGGCAACCCUAUAUUGGGCUUGAAGUAGAAACUAAGAUGACAAAAAUGAUGUGGACAAAAAUUCUUAUCUGAGUUUGCAGAACUGAAAUGGUGCACUGUGAUUUAUACUCAUUCACAUAUAACACCUUUUAUUUUUAGAGCACGUUAUAGUUUAUAAGGUUCCUUCACAUAUACUGUAUCAUUUGACCUUCCCAAUAACCUGGGGAGAUGAGAAAUGUGGGUCUGAUUUUCCCAGAAAAAGAUAACAGGGAUCAGGGAAGCUAAGUCUGCCGAAGACUUGCUAAGUCCACAUGGGCCAAGGCUAUAACCCAAACUGGCAUUCAGCUCCCAUGAUGCUCUGCUCUGGGACCCUGCACUGCCCCCCGAGUCCCAGCCUGGCCCAGGCUCCAGCAUUCCAGACAUGACAGCACUCCAAUCAGUUCCAAAAUGCCUCUCACGGGCUUUUGUGAAGCAUGAAGUUUCAGAGGUGUCUGAUUCCAGAUGAUCUCUCUCUGGUUUGCAGAAGGGCCAGAGCUAGAAAAUGGUUUUACUUGGUGAGGUGUCCAUAGUGGAGUCUCUGUCAUCUGUGGGUUCCAGGAUGACAAGACUUGUAACAGGUCUAGCUACUAAUCCUUUGGGCUCAUCAUAUUCCAGGUCAGGUGACAACUGCCUACAAAUAAGAUGGCUUGAUUCCCCUGGGACUCAGCAAGGAUGGUGUGGAUGGGGAUUUCUGGGGAAGAAAGUUGAGCAGAGCGGGAGGCCUGACUACGGGAUGCUUUGCAGAGCCUGAGAGCAGCCGGAGGAAUGCUCUGUCCAGCAGCUCAAGACAGCUGCUGCCUGGGGGGAGGGGCCACUCUGUCAGAGCGCAGGGUUUUACACAUCCUAAAAUCUUUACUUAUGGAUGUCAGGUCAAAGGGAAGGGAAAAAAACUCAACCAGACUUGAAAAGUUACCUGGUUCUGCUGUCGGCAAAUGGGCCGCAGCUGUUUUUGCCAUUACAAAAGCUGGUGCUUUUUUUUUUUUUUUUUUUUUAAGUAUGUUGUAGGAAAUAAAGAAUAUGAUCCUGGGGAAGCCCCAUGUAUACCACUGCCCACUUUGAUUAAAAUUUCAUUUUUCACUCUAUACAGAGGAUUUCAAUGGCAGGAAAAUGUUUCUCUUUGCUUUGCUUUUUUUUUUAAGUGCUAGAAGACAGGAACCCGUUUUAUUGCCAUUUUUUAUUCUUUAUACUUUGAUAUGUUAUACAUAUUAUUUAUUGCCCACUAAAUAGUUAAUACCAACAAUGAUAACUCCUCCUUGUUGGUGGAAGUCACUUCUGGGGUGUGAGAAAGGGCAUCUUACAGAUUGGGGAAUGAGACACGGGUUCUGACAAUCACCACAGUAUUCAUUACCAAUGACUAUUUUGUAACAUUUCCAAAGCACAAUGACACGAAGCUCUGCAGACCUGUGAUGACUGUAUCUGAGAAUUUCUUUCAAACAUCUCAUCCACUGGCUUGGAGCAAGUCCUCUAAGGAGCCAGCUCCAAGGAGCUGGGGCCAUUCUCGUGCCAGCGUCAGGACUCCUGGUCCAUGUAUCUGGCAGGAGUGAUGCACUCAGAGUAUGGUGCCUGUUCUGACCAGUCCGGUUCACCUGAUCCGAUGAAAGGUCAGCAGGACUAAGCUCUGCGCCAGGAUUCCAAGGAUUCCAAGUUCCCUUCCUCCGCCCCAGGCCAGUGACUUGUAAACGUGGAGGCUCUGCUAAGCACUGGGAUUUUAUUAAGGGCCUUGUUAAAAUUUACUAGAGUCAAAUAAAGAAAAGAUCCAGCCUUGGAAAUCAUUCUCCACCCAUGUCUCUCCUUCUCCCUGCUUCCCACCCCCACCCCUGAUCCUACUUAUUCAUCCAUUAAGCAACUAACUACUGAGUGAAUUCGGGAAAGUUACCCGUAUCACAUAGCUUUAGAAAUCACUUCAGAAAACGCCUUUAGGAAGGUAGGGUCACCUCUUUCCAUUUGUCUUACUCUGGCAGGUCUGGCGCCUAAGCCAACAGGCAGUGAAACACUAUGGUGAAGGAUAGAGAGAUACAAACUCUUAAAUCAGGCCUGAGUUAAAUCCUGGCCAUUGAAUUCGACUGGGAUGACUUUGGGCAAGUUACUUAACCUCUGUGAGUCUCACUUUCUGCAUCUAUAAAAUGAGACGAGUAUUAUGACCUACUGUGUCAAAUAUUGAGAGGGUUAAGGAAAGUAAUGCAUGUCCACUGCCUACCCCAGUGUUGAGCGCACAGCAGGUGCCAAAAAUGUGAGCUAUCAACAGGGGUCCCGUCCUCCCCCACACCCCCCCCCCCCCGCAAGGCUGCAUUGCUCCAUCUUGUGUUUAAGAGAAUUUUUGCCAGCUACAUGGGGAACUAAGGAGAGGAAAAGCCAUGUUCAUGCUGCUGGAUUCACAACUUGUCCCAUCCUUCUGUGAUGUCAUAAUUCGAGCAGCAGCCCACAAAUCUGAACACUAACCAGCCCUGUAACUGGUCCCCACCUCCCACACACUUUUCAUCACCCACUUGCACACAACAUCUGGGGCCUCUAUUUCCACCCUACUAUCCUGUGAGCUCACUGCCCAGAUUCCAUGUCCAGUGAUACUCAGAGAGCCGGUAUCCUCAGGAGGAUGCACUAUGGGGAAUCCAGGAAUACCUGCUAGAGACCAGGCAUGCAGGAAACCUGGACAUUUCUGUGGCAAAGAACCCAAGAGAUGCUGACACCAACUUUCUUCUUGACAGAGAGGGAAGCACACAGCUCUGGGGGCCUUCUAGAGUCACGGCCCUCGCUCACCAGGAGAUUAACCCGUCAGGCUGUCGAGUGAGAAGGGACGGAGCAGACCCUGACAGGAGGCCCGCAAUGCAGGGGAAAUCAAAACAAAUCCACCUGCUCAGGGAAGACUUUUUCGACACCUCGUCCCCCUACGGACAUCUGUGGCAAGUGUCAUCGCGACCACUGGUGUGGCACUGGAUCAUUUAUGACUGCCUCAUGACAUUAUUUUUCACUGUUGUCUUUGUAUUGUUGUUUGACGACUUUGUGUAAUGGUCUCUUCUCACUCCACAAAUAAACUGCAGCACCUGGCAGGCGGGGAGCAGCUUGA